This 750-nucleotide ribosomal RNA is filed under the name uncultured bacterium. RNAcentral describes it as "bacterial SSU rRNA". It matches the Rfam family "Bacterial small subunit ribosomal RNA", at positions 8 to 796 of the family's 1533-position model. The record is from RNAcentral.
AGAGUUUGAUCCUGGCUCAGGACGAACGCUGGCGGCGUGCCUAAUGCAUGCAAGUCGCACGCGCCGCCUUCGGGCGGUGAGUGGCGCACGGCUGAGGAUCACGUGGGAACAUGCCUCUUGGUGGGGGACAACAGCGCGAAAGCGCUGCUAAUCCCGCAUACGCUCGGCAACGAGGAAAGCCGUACGGCGCCGAGAGAGUGGCCCGCGGCCCAUCAGGUAGUCGGUGGGGUAAUGGCCUACCGAGCCGAUGACGGGUAGCUGGUCUGUGAGGACAGACAGCCAGACUGGGACUGAGACACGGCCCAGACUCCUACGGGAGGCAGCAGCAAGGAAUUUUCGUCAAUGGGCGCAAGCCUGAACGAGCAACGCCGCGUGGAGGAUGACGGCCUUCGGGUUGUAAACUCCUUUUGGGGGGGACGAUGAUGACGGUACCCCUUGAAUAAGGCUCGGCUAACUCUGUGCCAGCAGCCGCGGUAAUACAGAGGAGCCAAGCGUUGUCCGGAUUGACUGGGCGUAAAGCGCACGCAGGCGGUCUGGCGCGUGGGGUGUGAAAUCUGGCCGCUUAACGGCCAGGCGCCAUCCCAUACGGCCGGACUGGAGGGCUGCAGAGGUCGAUGGAAUUGCCGGUGUAGUGGUGAAAUGCGUAGAGAUCGGCAGGAACACCCAGGGGGAAACCAGUCGACUGGGCAGCACCUGACGCUGAGGUGCGAGAGCGUGGGGAGCGAACCGGAUUAGAUACCCCCGUAGUCC